CCCUUAGAUGUCCUGGGCCGCACGCGCGCUACACUGAUGCAUGCAACGAGUUUAUAACCUUGGCCUGAAAGGUCUGGGUAAUCUUUUGAACGUGCAUCGUGAUAGGGAUAGAUUAUUGCAAUUGUUAAUCUUGAACGAGGAAUUCCUAGUAAACGCGAGUCAUCGGCUCGCAUUGAUUACGUCCCUGCCCUUUGUACACACCGCCCGUCGCACCUACCGAUUGAAUGGUUCGGUGAAGAUCUCGGACUUCGAUAUUUAUUCUUUAUUGAGUUUAUAUUGUGGGAAGUUAUCUAAACCUCAUCAUUUAGAGGAAGGUGAAGUCGUAACA
This 328-nucleotide ribosomal RNA is filed under the name uncultured eukaryote. RNAcentral describes it as "partial 18S ribosomal RNA". It matches the Rfam family "Eukaryotic small subunit ribosomal RNA", at positions 1470 to 1796 of the family's 1831-position model. The record is from RNAcentral.